Zonotrichia leucophrys gambelii is the source of this 282-nucleotide long non-coding RNA. RefSeq lists it as uncharacterized. The transcript has 3 exons. The record is from RefSeq and is a predicted model, not a curated record. NCBI's taxonomy places the organism in Eukaryota, Metazoa, Chordata, Aves, Passeriformes, Passerellidae.
GGAAGAGUCAGUGCCUAGAGGAGCUGCCUGUGAGACACAUCGAGGAGGGUGGCUGGUUUGAAAUGUUGUGCCAGCUCUGCUCUGAACCCCUGUACCAGAGUGUGAGAGUAAGACUGGAAGGAAGAGAGAAGUUGCUGGCUCUUUCAGGAACAGCAGCAGGUUUUUAAAGGAUAAAACUGCUGCCAUAAAAAAGGUCAAUACCCUUAAAAUCUCUGAAUAUUCCAGCUAAAUCAAUAAAUGUGACAUUCCUCUGGUUUGUGUCUGACUCAGUGUGCAGCACUA